This 430-nucleotide long non-coding RNA is filed under the name Nicotiana benthamiana. RNAcentral describes it as "long non-coding RNA (NBEN_LNC021432)". The record is from RNAcentral. Lineage: Eukaryota; Viridiplantae; Streptophyta; Magnoliopsida; Solanales; Solanaceae.
AAUCUUGAGCUUCUUGAGGCCGUCCAUUUGACAUGUGCAAUGCUACUUGAAGUGCCAAACAUGGCAGCUAAUAGCCAUGACAUGAAGCGUAGGGUUAUUAGCAAGACAUUCCGGAGAUUGCUUGAGGUAAGUGAGAGGCAAACUUUCACCGGCCCACCUGAAAAUGUGAGGGACCAUGUAAUGGCAACCAAAUAUGGCAGCUAAUAGCCAUGACAUGAAGCGCAGGGUUAUUAGCAAGACAUUCCGGAGAUUGCUUGAAGUGAGUGAGAGGCAAACUUUCACCGGCCCACCUGAAAAUGUGAGGGACCAUGUAAUGGCUGCGACAAGGGCCCUCAAGCAAGGAAACUUUGAAAAGGCUUUUGAUGUUAUCAACUCCCUUGACGUGUGGAGGCUGCUACACAACAAGGAUAGUGUUCUUGAGAUGCUUAGG